GCCUUCAGCAAAACAGACUAAAGGGAUCCCACAAAAAGUCUACGUGAAGACCUGCGCUGACCGCAAGCAUUGGCAGGACAAGAAGGGCUUUCUUCAGAUAUCAUUUGGAUCAUAUCAUGACAAGAAGGGCUUUCUUCAGAUAUCAUUUGGAUCAUAUCAUGU
Molecule: long non-coding RNA, 162 nt
Organism: Spea bombifrons (plains spadefoot toad)
Lineage: Eukaryota; Metazoa; Chordata; Amphibia; Anura; Pelobatidae
Exons: 3
Source: RefSeq, a predicted model, not a curated record